This 450-nucleotide ribosomal RNA is filed under the name uncultured bacterium. RNAcentral describes it as "partial 16S ribosomal RNA". It matches the Rfam family "Bacterial small subunit ribosomal RNA", at positions 354 to 796 of the family's 1533-position model. The record is from RNAcentral.
GUGGGGAAUAUUGGACAAUGGGCGAAAGCCUGAUCCAGCCAUGCCGCGUGUGUGAAGAAGGUCUUCGGAUUGUAAAGCACUUUAAGUUGGGAGGAAGGGCAGUAAGUUAAUACCUUGCUGUUUUGACGUUACCGACAGAAUAAGCACCGGCUAACUUCGUGCCAGCAGCCGCGGUAAUACGAAGGGUGCAAGCGUUAAUCGGAAUUACUGGGCGUAAAGCGCGCGUAGGUGGUUUUGUAAGUUUGAGGUGAAAUCCCCGGGCUCAACCUGGGAACUGCCUCCAAAACUGCAUGACUAGAGUACGGUAGAGGGUAGUGGAAUUUCCUGUGUAGCGGUGAAAUGCGUAGAUAUAGGAAGGAACACCAGUGGCGAAGGCGACUACCUGGACUGAUACUGACACUGAGGUGCGAAAGCGUGGGGAGCAAACAGGAUUAGAUACCCUAGUAGUCC